GAUGAACGCUCGCUACAGGCUUAACACAUGCAAGUCGCGGGGCAGCAUGGGGGUUGCUUGCAAUCCCCGAUGGCGACCGGCGCACGGGUGAGUAACGCGUAUCCAACCUGCCCUUCACCACGGGAUAACCCGGCGAAAGUCGGACUAAUGCCGUAUGUUGUCCAUUGACGGCAUCCGAUUUGGACGAAAGGUUUGGCGGUGAAGGAUGGGGAUGCGUCCGAUUAGCUGGACGGCGGGGUGACGGCCCACCGUGGCGACGAUCGGUAGGGGUUCUGAGAGGAAGGUCCCCCACACUGGAACUGAGACACGGUCCAGACUCCUACGGGAGGCAGCAGUGAGGAAUAUUGGUCAAGGGGCGUAAGCCUGAACCAGCCAAGUAGCGUGCAGGAUGACGGCCCUAUGGGUGGUAAACUGCUUUUAUGCGGGGAUAAAGUGGCCCACGUGUGGGUUUUUGCAGGUACCGCAUGAAUAAGGACCGGCUAAUUCCGUG
RNAcentral lists this ribosomal RNA (490 nucleotides) under uncultured bacterium. RNAcentral's name for it is "partial 16S ribosomal RNA". It matches the Rfam family "Bacterial small subunit ribosomal RNA", at positions 28 to 507 of the family's 1533-position model. The record is from RNAcentral.